AUACGGAGGAUCCGAGCGUUAUCCGGAUUUAUUGGGUUUAAAGGGUGCGCAGGCGGGAGAUUAAGUCGGCGGUGAAAUUUUGCAGCUCAACUGUAAAAGUGCCUUCGAAACUGGUUUCCUUGAGUGUAGAUGAAGUAGGCGGAAUUUGUGGUGUAGCGGUGAAAUGCAUAGAUAUCACGAGGAACUCCGAUUGCGCAGGCAGCUUACUAAACUACUACUGACGCUCAGGCACGAAGGCGUGGGGAUCAAACAGGAUUAGAUACCCUGGUAGUCCACGCAGUAAACGAUGAUUACUAGCUGUUUGUGAUGCAAUGUAAGCGGCUGAGCGAAAGCGUUAAGUAAUCCACCUGGGGAGUACGUUCGCAAGAAUGAAACUCAAAGGAAUUGACGGGG
Molecule: ribosomal RNA, 393 nt
Filed under: uncultured bacterium
Lineage: Bacteria
Description: partial 16S ribosomal RNA
Rfam family: Bacterial small subunit ribosomal RNA
Source: RNAcentral